RNAcentral lists this small nuclear RNA (263 nucleotides) under Erinaceus europaeus (western European hedgehog). Its description in RNAcentral is "7SK RNA". It matches the Rfam family "7SK RNA". From Rfam's summary of the family: 7SK was discovered as an abundant small nuclear RNA in the mid-70s but a possible function has only recently been suggested. Two independent studies have found that 7SK RNA binds the CDK9/cyclin T complex (known as elongation factor P-TEFb). The record is from Rfam by way of RNAcentral. Lineage: Eukaryota; Metazoa; Chordata; Mammalia; Eulipotyphla; Erinaceidae.
GGCUGUGAGGGCCAUAUGGCUGUGACGUAACCCUGUUGAUCACCCAGCUGGAUCUGGUUGAUCUAACUGGCUAGGCGAGUGUCCCCUUCCUCCCUCGCUGCUCCGUGUGUGUAUAUCUCAAAGCUGCAUGCCCCAAAAGAGAUGGGCUGGGCUUCCAAUGUAGCUGCAUUCCCUUCUGAUAGAAGCCCCAAGCCAGCUCUCAAGAUCCAUUUUAUUAGAUACACAUUGUUAUUUUAUAUAUAUAUGUAUUAAUAUAUAUUAAU